CAUGUACUACACGGAUUAUCAUCAACAGAUUCACAGACCCUAUCUGGCGAGAAGAGAGCGGACAUUUUGUUUUUUUUUUUGUCAAUGAUUUACCUGGCCAUGUCUUCUCAUCAACACAACCACGUGAUGCAAUCGCUUUGACGUAAACAACAAAGUCUGAGUCCCAAAUACCGCCAAGACUUGAGGGUAUUCAACCAUUGGUUGCUUUCCACUAUCAGGUACCACUCCAUCCCCCCCCCCCCCCCACACUACGAAAAGGUUGCUCGUCAGUCGCCACCUAAGUCAUUUUUAUAGAUCAGUGGUGCAGACCCAGACGACUUCUACGUCUGCCAGGCCAGACGUGUUUGUCUAGACACCCACAUCACGUGUCUUCCUUAGGUUAGCUUCAAAGCAUGACAGACGAGCUUCAGAGAUUCGCUCAAGUGUGAUUUUCUUGACCGGUCUUUACAGCCUCGGGGUCGGCGUGUGCGCAUCUUGACCGGGGAAUUUUGAAGAAAUGUUAAAGUGGAGUUCCACACUUUGACAUGAACACUUCAAGUCAUUUCCAAUGAGCUAAACAAUAAGGGAGGAUUGCAUAUCACGCUGUGUGGUUUAUCUCAGAGAUGCACCAUAAACUAUGAUGGUCAAGCUUCAUCAACAACCAUGUUAUCGGGGAACAUCGUAUUUCAGAAAGAAAAAAAAAGAGUCAUUUCCCUUUCAUGCGAAAUCCAUUAUCUUCUUGUUCCGUGCCUCUCACGUUCCUUACAAACUGGUCUCUGACUUUGGAGUAACAUGGCCAGCAGAAAGAGUGGGCGUCAGAGAACAUGAAUGAGAGGAGAGGGACGGAAGAGAGAGAGAGAGAGAAACAUCGGGGAGAAAAUGUCUGGAGCAUGACUCAGGCUUAUUGAUUGGUCAGAGAAUGUCGUGGGCUGGUCACCUGACCUCCUGUAUGGGGGGGAUUUUUUUUUCUUUUCCACCAAUCGUAUUCAGUCUUUAAGCCUGAGAUGUUCCCCGCCCUUACCCAUCAACAAAUAGGAGAAGGGGAACCAAAGUGAUGAGGGCGCCAUGUGGUCAUUGCCGAAUCCGCUCCUUGACAACACGCUGACUCAGGCUUUCAGGAUAGGGGCAUAAGGGGGAGCUGGAUGAAACCGGAAGUACCAGGAAUGGAAAUCUGUAGUCGCAGAACUAGUACUGCUCACCAAAGACUAUUGCAUUGCUCUAUAGUUUAUAUGUAGGGCUAUGUGUAUCUCAAAAAGUAUGUGGAAUUUGAUGUUGAAUACUGUUGUCGUGUUAGUUUAUGACUGUACAGUGUAUACGAAAGGUACUUAUUAGGUAUUAGUGCUCUAUUCGCCAUGUCGUUAGAUGAGACAGUAAAUGUAAUAGUCAUGUAUCUGUCUUUAGAGGUCACAUGUAGAUGAUACAUAGUAAGAUAGGUGGAUCUCAAUCUAUUAAUCUUAGCCGUAACCGUGGACAUUUUUAGAUGUACCAUGAUAGGAUUCUUAAAGCAUAUUGCAUAGAAGCCAGUUCGAAUGCUAGUAACUUAUAUCAAGCUUCCCACCCCAUACCACUUUUCGUUAUUAAUUGGGUGGCUGCCUGGUCGUGCGGUAUGCGCUCUGGACUGUCCUUCUCCUUCGGCCAUCAUACCCUGCCCACGUCUACCCUACGGGAGAUUCGUGCUAGGGUGUAUACGUUCUGGUGUAACAUGCAAACAUCGGAACUAGGUAAACUAGUUUACAAAUAUUUAGAUCUAUGUAUUCAUUUUAUAGUUUCUGAUUUUUUAAAUUUAUUUACAAUUUUUACCAAUAUUUUCAACGCCAUUAUUUGUAGUACCAUUAAUGACUAUUGACUUUGUGUCUACAUUUUCCUAUCUUCAUGGUACAUUCGAUAACAACAAAGCUUAACAAAAAGCACAUAAUCUGAGCAGUGAUUGUUGUGAUGGAUAGAUUACUUCCCUUAGCACUUCUCCUGCCAAUUCAUGUGAAAAACUGUCACCAAAAUCUGAAUGUGCUACUUCUAGUUUUCACACAUUUCAUUUUAGAAUCGUUAGGUCCAUUGGUUUGUGGAUAGUGUUACAACUGAAGUGUCACUCUUAUAUAUAGAAGAUAUAUCUUGAUAUUUUAGCAUUGCAUCAUUAGGGAUAUAGGUUGGUGUUCUAGUCAAUUGUGAACCAUCCUAAUCUUGCAUAAAAACUUAACACGGUAUGCGACACCGUGCAUACAUGUCAGUGCAAUCAGCUGAGUGCGGUCAUAUGACUUACAAAUGAUACUUGUAUCAUUGUUAGAUCAAUGCCGGACUUAUCGCAGACAGCAUCCAAUGUGAUAGACUGAGCUGUGUUGUAGUGGUCAAAUAGAAGGGCUGUGAAAGGCUGAGCUGUGUUGUAGUGGUCAAAUAGAAGGGCUGUGAUAGACUGAGCUGUGUUGUAGUGGUCAAAUAGAAGGUCUGUGAAAGACUGAGCUGUGUUAUAGUGGUCAAAUAGAAGGUCUGUGAAAGACUGAGCUGUGUUAUAGUGGUCAAAUAGAAGGGCUGUGAAAGACUGAGCUGUGUUAUAGUGGUCAAAUAGAAGGUCUGUGAAAGGCUGAGCUGUGUUGUAGUGGUCAAAUAGAAGGUCUGUGAAAGGCUGAGCUGUGUUGUAGUGGUCAAAUAGAAGGGCUGUGAAAGACUGAGCUGUGUUAUAGUGGUCAAAUAGAAGGGCUGUGAUCGUUAUAAAGAAGCAUCAUUUAUUUUUAGCAUUGAAUUUGUGAUGUGUCUUAGGCUUAUAUAGAAAUAACAAUAUCUACUGUUCUGUGACGGUUGUAUAUUAUCUGCAUAUCAUUAUUUACAAGCUUCUAACAUCAUAUGUAUACCUGGAACACUAAAUACUAGCUUAGAAGAUUAUAUGCAGUCUUGGAAGAUUAUAUGCAGGCCUGGAAGAUUAUAUACAAACCUGGAAGAUUAUAUACAGACAUGGAAGAUUUUAUGCAGGCCUGGGCAAUUAAAAAGAUGCCUGGAAGAUUUCAUGCAGGCUUGAAGAUUAUUUGAAGGCCUGGGCGAUUGUAUGCAGGCAUGGAAGAAUGUAUACAGGUCUAGAAGGUUUAUACAGACCAUGAAUAUUAUAUACAGGCCAAGAAGAUCGUAUACAGGCCUGGAGAAUUAUAUGCAAGCCUGGAAGAAUUAUACAGACAUUGAAUAUUAUAUACAUGCCUGGAGAAUUAUAUGCAAGCCUGGAAAAUCAUAUGCUGGACUAGAAGAUUGUAUUCAGGCCUUGAAUAGUGUCCUCAGGCCAGGAAGAUUGUAUACAGGCCUGGAAGAUUGUAUGCUGGACUAGAAGAUUAAAUACAGGCCUUGAAUAGUGUCCGCAGGCCUAGAAGAUUGUAACUUGUUUUCAACGUUUUACUAAAUGUAUUUAUUUGUGCAGAGGCGUAUCAUGUCUGCGUGACGUAAAAGAGAUAAGAAGAUGGGGGUCAAAUUGGUCCCAAAUGUUCAACUAUUGUCAGGAAAUUUCAAUUUCAAUUAAUACCAUUUAGAAGAUUUGUUUAAAGUGCCUAAAUGGUAUUUACAAAAUAAUUUAACCCCUCCCCCACCCCCAGGUUAAAUAAGAUUGCUACACCUCUGACCAAAUAUUACGUCAUUAAGAAGAAGUAAAGGGGAGGUAAGAGAGGGAACUCUGCGCUGCUAACACAGUGUCACCCAUGUCUGCCACACAGCUAAUCAGACCAAUCUGGACAUAAACCAGCCCGCGAGCGCGGUGGAGCUGAACGAACAGUUGUGGGCCACACAUUUUUUAUUGGUUGCUGUUGUUGUUGAUGUUAGCCUCGUGUGAUGCUGCACCGCCAACUGUGACAUAGAAGCAAAGGUUGUGGAAAAAAAUCAGCAGACGCCAACACUGGUUUGACCUUGACCAGUAGCGUAGAUUUCCUUUCUUGCUCAUCGUGUAACAAUCAUAUCCCCUCGUCUGCAAUCAUAUCCUAUGGACAACAUUCGUCAUGUGUACAGUUCUCAAUCAUGUGUACAGUGUACAGUUGUAUAUAUUUGUGCCUAAAAUCCUCUAGGUUUUUUAAAUCACUGUCUUAAGUUUAUUUAUUUUGAGUAUGGUUUUUAAAAACAAAAUUGUGUUUCCAGUUUUUAAGUU
Molecule: long non-coding RNA, 4087 nt
Organism: Biomphalaria glabrata
Lineage: Eukaryota; Metazoa; Mollusca; Gastropoda; Planorbidae
Exons: 2
Source: RefSeq, a predicted model, not a curated record